RNAcentral lists this ribosomal RNA (834 nucleotides) under uncultured archaeon. Its description in RNAcentral is "bacterial SSU rRNA". It matches the Rfam family "Archaeal small subunit ribosomal RNA", at positions 18 to 873 of the family's 1478-position model. The record is from RNAcentral.
CGGAGGCGACCGCUAUUGGAGUUCGAUUAAGACAUGCGAGUCUGAGCAUUAGCUCGGCGUACCGCUCAGUAACACGUGGGUAACCUGCCCUACUGUUCGGAAUAACCUCGGGAAACUGAGAACAAUGCCGAAUAGUCCACCACGCCUGGAACGGUGGGUGGAUGAAGGUAGGAUGGGCCUGCGGCGUAUCAGGUUGUAGGGGGUGUAAUGGACCUCCUAGCCAUCGACGCGUACGGGUGUUGGGAGACAUAGCCCGGAGAUGGAUUCUGAGACACGAAUCCAGGCCCUACGGGGCGCAGCAGUUACGAAAACUUGGCAAUGCGGGAAACCGUGACCAGGGAACUCCAAGUGAGUCUCUUUUAGGGGCUCUUUUCAUGACUCUAAAACGGUCUUGGAAUAAGGGGUGGGUAAGGACGGUGCCAGCCGCCGCGGUAAUACCGGCGCCUCAAGUGGUCGUCGCUUUUAUUGGGCCUAAAACGUCCGUAGCCGGUUUGGUACAUUCGUGGGUAAAUCAACUCGCUCAACGAGUUGAAUUCUGCGAGGACGGCCAGACUAGGGACCGGGAGAGGUGUGGGGAACUCUCAGGGUAGGGGUAAAAUCCUGUCAUCCUGAGAGGACCACCUGUUGCGAAGGCGCCACACUAGAACGGAUCCGACGGUCAGGGACGAAGCCUAGGGGCACGAACCGGAUUAGAUACCCGGGUAGUCCUAGGUGUAAACGCUGUGGACUUGGUGUUGGGGAAGACUAGAGCUUUCCCAGUGCCGUAGCGAAGGUGUUGAGUCCACUGCCUGGGGAGUACGGUCGCAAGGCUGAAACUUAAAGGAAUUGGCGGGG